RNAcentral lists this small RNA (3522 nucleotides) under Rattus norvegicus (Norway rat). RNAcentral describes it as "uncharacterized LOC100911923". Lineage: Eukaryota; Metazoa; Chordata; Mammalia; Rodentia; Muridae. The record is from RNAcentral.
UUUAAGUAUGGACUUGAAUAUGACAGUCUUUUCACUGAUGUCCAGGGAAUUUCUACCUUACAGUGCCCGGGGAAUGGGAUCUGGGGCUAGCUUUCUUCCUGAGAAAACCAGUCCUGGCUUUUGGGAUAUGGCUUCUCAUAUCUUGAAAGUACUCUGAUAUUCUGAAAGGAUGGUUGGUUGACACUACUGAGAGUCUACAGGGAGUGUGGGAAGUUACUCUUAGCAAACCUCAUAUUUUGGAAAGACAGAACCCAGGAAAGUUUAAUAAUUCCUGUAGGGACAGGAGUGCAGGCUGAGGUUGUUCACGGGAUGCAGGUGCUGUUCAACUUCUAAGUGCGGGCUGAGUUUAAUUCAACCCCCUUGGCCAGCACAGGCCCAGACAGGGCCUGGCUCUUUCUAGUCACCAAGUUGCCCUGACUCCCUGCCUUCUAGCAGAAUAACAAUUCGGGGGCAAUGUAGCGCUUGCCUUAUCUUCUUUGGGCUAGUUGGAGUUUCAGAGCAAAUACAUUCUUCUCUAGCCGGCUUAGCUUAAAGUCUGUUUACUUGUCCCCAGGAUAGGUGAAUAUUCAGAGGGCUCUGGGAAUGAGACCCAACAAACUGGACUUUGGUCCUCUCUUGCCACCAAUCACUCUGAUUCCUCCAGCUCCUACCUAGGGGAAUGUGUCAGCUAUAGAAGCAAUCUUGGCAUGCAGACUGGGGCAUAUCUCUUUAGGAAACUAGGUGCUGGGCUCAAAGUGAGCUGGGUUUAAGGUUUUAGUCCCCACAGUUUGGGGACACAAGCCAUUCACACAGCCUGCAACUGGGUCAGCACCUAGGAGGCUUUCAAAAACUGGGGCUCAGAUUUGUUCUGACCUCCAAGUAAAAGAAAUAAACAUUCUAGAGAUGCCCUGACACUGAGAUGGUGGAAGAGGGGAAGUUUCCUCAGUGAGCUGUAGAACAAAUGCCCUAGAAACUGCCCCCUGACAAGUAUCCCACUCAACUCCAGGCCGCGAUGGUUCAGGCAGUGGGGGGAUUUUGCAGACAGCAUCCUCCUCUUUGCUCCUCUCCCCCACCCCACCCCAACCCCGCCGUGUAAACACGAGGACUUUCUCGAGAGCCCUGGAGAGCCGCUCUAGUGGCUUCGGGGCCUGAAACCCCAGGCUUGGCUUGUUUGAUGUUUAGCAUCCCAAAGCGGCUCCCCACCCCCGCCCCAGCCUGGGAACCCCGAGCUCCGGGGCCGAAGAGAAGGGGAAGCAGUUCUCUCAGCUGGAGGGCGGUGGAUUGGCUGGGCUUAGAGAAGUGGCGAAAACUACAGGACUCCCCGCCCUGAGCAGGGGAGAAAGGGAUCCCGGAAUGAUGCGGUCAUCCAUGAGGAUAUAGCUGGAGUCCUAAAGGCCAAGAGGCAGACGGGGAAAGAAAUGUCACAAUUUGGGGGAAUACACUGGAGAUAGGGGCCAGGUCGGUGGAAAUAGCUUGGGGCCACCGCGAAAACAAGGUAAGCGGUGUCUGGGUCCAGUUAGUGAGCAUCGAGAACGGCGUCCACGACUGCAGGGCUAUCAGGGCCUCGAGGAGACAGCGCUCCGUGCCACUGCUUAGUGCUUGGCCUUUCAUAGGGACGAACCUGCUUAGGAGUCUUCCAAGAGAUUUUUAAAUCCUCCGAGUCUGGACCUGGAAGCUCCAUUGGCGACGUUUGGAUCUGGCUUCGUAGUCUUUGAUUUCGAAAGCCCAGGAAGAUUCGCAGACUUUCAAGGCCGCACACACCGCAUUGCCGGGAGUCUGGGCGGCGGUGAGGACUGAGAAGCUGUCUCAAGACCUGAGUCUCUUCUCAGGCGAUCCCAGAUAAGAGGAGAGAGAGAGAGCUUUUCUGACUUCCAACUCAUUAGGGACCAGAUUUGCUCUCCAGCACAGCAAAAGGGUCUGCCUGUGACCCUCACCGAACUCACUCUUCACUGCUUUAUAGAGACCAUCAGACUCAGGACAAAUAUUCUAGUUUGGAUGCGCAAUUAAUAAUAAGAAGAUACAGGACAGAGGCGGACUGAAUGGCUCCAAUUCUCAGAAUGUGAAAGCGUAAAUCAGAACCUACUAUUUUGUAAAACCAACUUGGAAAACAAAAUUGUCAGAAGCAAAACAACAACAACAACAACAAUAAAAACCAAACCAACAACAAAACCAAGCAAGUCAGGCUGUUUUACCAAUAAAGGGGGCACUGAAUGGAAUCAGAGAUCUGAUAAGUGCCGGGAAGUUGGACUAAGAGGGACAGGAGACUUCGAAACUUCUCUGAAUACUGCUUUGCUGCUGACUUCCAAGGAGAUCUCACCAGAGCUGAGCUGAAGCCAGGACCAUAGUGUUAUUGACAUUACCCCCAGAGACAUGAAGAAACAUCUGCUGCCCCUAGAUAUGAAACCAACACAGACCAAACCAACUGUCAGUACUGCAAGUGGUCCACCCACCAAAGAGAUGGAACUCAACGUGGUAGAAUAGAAGCUGAGACAUGUGGACUUGACAGACUUGAGACUCGGCUAUUCAUCCCAGCUCUGAGAGCCCAUGCAGCUCAUUGAGCCUUCGCGACUCCUGGUUUUACUUUCAGCAAAAUGGAGAUAUUAAGACAGGUUCCCUUGUGGUCCAGGAGACCUCAAACUCUCUCUGUAGAUGAGGAUAACCUUGAAUUCCUGAUCCUCCUGCUCUCAUCUUUCAAAAUAGAUGCCUCCAAGGUGAUUUACACGUUCUUCUUGUCUUGAGGUUUGGGAUUCCCGUUUUGGGUCUGCAGAAUUGAGACAGUCUCUGGGAUCAGUACACGUCAACCUGAACCCGGAAGAGUUCCAAGUAUCUUUCCCCUUCUCUGUCAGGUUCGUGUUACCCUGAACCUGUGAGCUCAGAAGGAAUUUUCUGGUUUUCGGGAGACGGCAGCCAUUCAUCAUAGCUCUCCACCACUGACUGACUGAGAGUCAAUUAUCAUCAAACAUCCAUCUGCCCAUGAUGCUAAUUAUUCCUACUCCAUGAUUGAGGAUUUGGAGUCGGAGACUCACCUGCAAUAUUUGGAAUACCAGUGGAGAUCCAUAUCAACAUGGAAUUUAUACAGCAGCUGGUGCCAGUCACAGCUAAUGAUGAAACUUCAGCUUAAUAAAAAGACCCCCAACUGAGUACAACCAUCUCGAAGAAAGUGUACUUAUCAAACAGCUUUCAAUCAGUUCAAGAGAGACACCUUAAUUGUGAAGAGCAAGAACCGCACAGCAGUUGUCACCAUGCCAACUUCAGAUCAAUGGCACUUCCACUGCUCUUGGUACAUAUAGCCUUGCCUAUGUCCUUAACUGCACCAACAUCCUUCCUGUUGGGAUGAGAUCUUGUCAGCUGCUAGCGUGUGAUGAUGCCUUCGUUCAUUACAUUACUAUACCCCUUAGCAAAAUUUAAACGUGUAAUGAUAAAGGUCACUACCUUUUCCUUUAAUUAAGACCUCUAUUUCUUGUUACCAGAAACAAGUGCCUAUGACAUUUUGUAUUUUCAGAAAUUAUCCUGUUGAAAUAAAGCUACACAAACAAAAUAAAA